This 1687-nucleotide long non-coding RNA is filed under the name Triticum aestivum (bread wheat). RNAcentral describes it as "long non-coding RNA (TAES_LNC014714)". Lineage: Eukaryota; Viridiplantae; Streptophyta; Magnoliopsida; Poales; Poaceae. The record is from RNAcentral.
CAUUAUUUUCAGGUCUGUAAACAACAUCAUCAAAAUUUUCACACUUUUCAAACAAAGAUUCAAUUUCAUAAGUGUGGGGACCCCGACUCGCAAGUCGUGAUCACCGAAUGCACGUGUACAGUGAUCCCAGAGAUCAAUGCUCACUGAACACACAGAAGCUGAAUAACAAGAAUCUUACAUCCAUACAUACCGUCUUACACAAAUAGUGACCAACAUGGUCAAGUCUUACAUCGAUAAAGCCUUAAGGGCUGAACAUCAAAUGAAACAUAGCAGCGGAAAUCGUCAUCGAUAAGUAGAACCCAUGCCAUCUGCCUUAACCCUACAGGCAUUCUGACUGGGAACGUCCUAGUUCGCAUGAUCGCCUCCAAAGAACCCUUCUUCGAACUCCGGUUCUCCCAUGCCUGGUCAAUUAAAUAACCAGUGGCAAGCCAAUGAGUACUUUGAAUGUACUCGCAAGCAACCCAUGAUUUGGUUCAAGGUACAGUAAUGCAUGACAUAGGUAAAGUUUUGCAUAAAGCUAGUUUUGAGUGCAGGACAUGUUCAACAUCCUAUAAAGCAUGCAUCAAGAGAAUUCAAGUAACCAUAAGAUCUGGUCACAGAUAUCAACAUAAAUAGAAAGGGGCACCAACCCAUUUGUCAUAAACAGAGAGGGCACCAACCCAUCUCAAUCGUGUCAAGUCCUCUGACUGGAUCCAAGACAACACCAUCAUCUCACACACACCGGGUUUGAAAACAAGUGGACGUAGCCCAAGAGCGGUUACCCAACUGUCCUUGACCGUGGACACGGCUAUUCGAAUAGUUUUACACUCUGCAGAGGUUGCACACUUUACCCACUAGAUCCGGGGAACUUCCGUGUCAUCCACGACCCGCGGUACCUCAAGUACCCGGGGUAAGCACCCGAUCACUACCUUUCCCUAGACGACACUAACAUGGAGUCCACUCGAUUGGUAGUAACCCCCGUGCCGAACAUUUCACAUCAUAAAGUUGUGGAGCCUCGCUCCCAUUUUCAUCACAUACCACAAGCACGGGGUACCAAUGGUGUGUCCGGUGCCCUGUGAAAACAGUCAUGGCCGCCCUACCUGGCACGACCCCGUCCCAAGAGAGAGCACCAACUCUCCCCCGUCACUAGUAAUGCGGGCUCCAAGCUAGUAUCGGUCUAGGUACUCAAUAAUGCCCUUUCCCAUAUAAGGGUAGAGUGGUCGCGCAUGUAAGGUUGGAAUAACGGUCGCAUCUCCGACCAAUCCGUUUGAAAACAACACACCCUUUGCUUGGCACACCACUUCGUCCUCAAGUGGUCACCCAUCUCAUCAUCUCCCUCGGGCAUAAGUGGCACCCGACGGGGUUUUCGAAAAGACUUGAAAAUAUUUUGUCUCCAUCACCAUGCAUAACCCCGUCCCUUUUUGCGUAGCACUACUUAGUAUCCUAUCUACUCCCACCGGCAUAACCCUCAUAAGAAGGUAGGGCCAUGCACAAUGCAAGUGUCAAUGAUAAAAUAACGGGGCAACCAAUCCACAUGGUUCACCAUCUCACCAUGAUUCCGAUGCGACAAUAAUGAAGAGCUAUGAAUGACAUGCAUAUAAAGGGGUUUCAUAGUCAUGGUCAAAGGGCUGCUUGCCUGUUUCAACAAGGUCUUCGAGGUCUUCAAUGUCUCUGGUCCAACUCCGAGCAUUUCGUCUACUUCGUCCAC